UACAGAGGUCUCAAGCGUUGUUCGGAUUUAUUGGGCGUAAAGGGUGCGUAGGCGGCGCGGUAAGUCGGGUGUGAAAUCUUGGAGCUUAACUCCGAAACUGCAUUCGAUACUGCCGUGCUUGAGGACUGGAGAGGAGACUGGAAUUUACGGUGUAGCGGUGAAAUGCGUAGAUAUCGUAAGGAAGACCAGUGGCGAAGGCGGGUCUCUGGACAGUUCCUGACGCUGAGGCGCGAAGGUGAGGGGAGCAAACGGG
This 253-nucleotide ribosomal RNA is filed under the name uncultured bacterium. RNAcentral's name for it is "partial 16S ribosomal RNA". It matches the Rfam family "Bacterial small subunit ribosomal RNA", at positions 524 to 776 of the family's 1533-position model. The record is from RNAcentral.